AGAACGAACGCUGGCGGCAUGCCUAAUACAUGCAAGUCGAACGAACACUUCGGUGUUAGUGGCGCACGGGUGCGUAACGCGUGGGAAUCUGCCCUUGGGUUCGGAAUAACAGUUGGAAACGACUGCUAAUACCGGAUGAUGACGAAAGUCCAAAGAUUUAUCGCCCAGGGAUGAGCCCGCGUAGGAUUAGCUAGUUGGUGAGGUAAAGGCUCACCAAGGC
This 220-nucleotide ribosomal RNA is filed under the name uncultured soil bacterium. RNAcentral describes it as "partial 16S ribosomal RNA". It matches the Rfam family "Bacterial small subunit ribosomal RNA", at positions 26 to 274 of the family's 1533-position model. The record is from RNAcentral.